Molecule: long non-coding RNA, 1458 nt
Filed under: Cyanistes caeruleus (blue tit)
Lineage: Eukaryota; Metazoa; Chordata; Aves; Passeriformes; Paridae
Description: lncRNA (ENSCCEG00000005308.1)
Source: RNAcentral
UCUGGCUGGGGUUAAGCUACUACACCAAUAAAAAGCAACUGCAGCUGACAUGUUUACAGGAAAAGUGGUUGACUGGAAGCCAGUAAAUGUCACUAGAAGCUGUCACAGAUGAAGAAUAUCAGCUUCUACCUCUGAAGAGGAAGCAGCACUUCACAUCCUCUCUGCACUUCCCAAGUAACCAGGGAUAUGGACAGAAAUAAUGGGAGAGAUCCUUUGUUCCUUCCUAUAGGGAUUCCUCUACUCUGAAGUAAAUGCUGGUGGCUGGCGCCUCUGCCUCUCUCUAUCAGCCCCUGGCACUCACAAUAUGCUUCCACAGUUGGGCAGUUGUCGAGACGAAACCACUGUCUGGUGAGCGAACCGUGGCUGUCUCACAAUUUACCUGCCCUUCUCCAUCUGUCUGCACUCACCAGCUGUGCUUGAGCCCUUCAGGCAGGGACAGAAGAAUUGGAUGCACAUAAAGUACCUCUUCAGUGUGACCAGUGUAAAUAACUGUGUUGGGGUUCUCUGGGAGACAGAGAAGGAAGACAGAUGCACUAUUAAACAAACCCCCAUCACGAGGGAAAGAGCAGAAAUGAUCCUUGUAUCCAGAAUAAGUUAGAGAAUCCAAACUCUGUCUCCUUGGCUCCUACAAAACUGCAUCAGGAACCAAAGGGGUCUGACAACUACAAUUCCCUCUUAGAAGGUUUUGUCAAGCUCUGUAGAACUGUAUGUCAGAGUCUUUGGCGCUGACAGACUGACAAACACUUGGACUGUUACUUAUUACAUCACCUACCAAAUGGGUUUGAAUGCACAUUUCCUGCAGCUUGUCUUCCUCCUAACCUCAAAUAUGGAGCUGCAAAUUUUAGUACAUUUAAGAUGACUACAGAUAGUGAGGUAGGGUAGAAUUUGUCACACAUGAUCAUAUUCGUUUUGUAAAAAUAAGUUUAUUGUACUUGGCAUAGCAAUAAGAAAGCUAGGCUAGCUGGCCAGUCAGCCCUAAGAAAUAGUGAACAACAUCUGUUUAAGUCUCUGAAGUAACACAAUUCAUGCAUGGCAUUAGGUUAUGUUGCAUCAUUUAACACAACAUAAACCUCACUUACCUUUUCCUCCCUUUGCCACUUUCUUCCAGUUUAUUCUCACUCCAACUGGCUGCAAAAAUGCAUAACUGUCUUUGCUGCUUUAAAAUUGCUGGGUUUUCCCCUCUAAUUUUUGCAGCUAAUGUAAUUUUUUUUGUAUACUGCCUUUCUGGGAACCACUGAACCCACAUCCAAGAAGUGUUAUCUCUCCCUUAUGCAUCUCAUCAUAAGAAUUCUUUGUGGGGUUUUCUUGACUGAAGUCCUAUACAAAACUAAAUUGUAUUGUUAUGUCUGAGACGUUGUCAUACAGGAUGAGGCACAAAUCAUACCUAACCAAAUUUAAUGAAAGAUUGCCAUCAGGUGUCUAAAUGUCUCACUUGCCUGUUUAGUUGAGUUAUGGCAA